CCAUUUUCAUAAAGAGAAGGUCAAGGCCCAAAGAGGAAACAGAAGCUCAGAGAGGCUAGAUCAUUCACUCAGCUAUAAGGGCAGGCAGCAAGGACAACACAAGCUGGCUCUAUUUUGCACAACGGGAAAAGUUGUGCAAGCUUCGCUCCCACGCCAAGCAAAGACAUCUCCGUGCAGAUGACACACAUUGUGUUCCCAGACGUGCCAGGGAAAAGAAGUGAGGCGACCACCAGCUGUGGAUAACAGAGCCAUCCCUGGAGGGCUCCAGGGCCUCACUGACCCACCAUGGGGACUUUGAACCAUUCUGGCCCUUGGCCUUGCACAGCUUAGCACUGCCAUCACCUCAUAUCAGAGAGGAAGAGACAGACUGAGAGGCAGAUGGGCCAGACCAGCCAGCCUUCCACUCUGGCUACCCUUUCAGGCUCGGCAGCAGAAUCCCCUGGAGUGCACAGGUACAGCUGGAACCCUGAGGUCCUCGGGGACCCCUCCUGGCCCACGCAGGUCAAGCUUGGAUCUGGACCCAAACAGGUUGUGACUUGAAGCGUGGCUCCCUCUUCUGGCUGUGUGGCCUGGGCUCCAUGACUGGACCUCUCUGAAGAAGGGGCAGCAGCAGUCUCUUCCUUGGAGGACCAGCACGAGGAUUCAAUGCAGUGUCAUAUGGCACAGGCCCUGGUGUGCAGUGAGCACCCAGUCGGUGUGGACCCUUUCUCAUUUUUUGGAGCUGUGUGUGUGUGAGAGAGCUCCUUAACUGAUUCUAAAGUGCCAUCUCUCUG
Ochotona princeps (American pika) is the source of this 773-nucleotide long non-coding RNA. RefSeq lists it as uncharacterized. The record is from RefSeq and is a predicted model, not a curated record. Lineage: Eukaryota; Metazoa; Chordata; Mammalia; Lagomorpha; Ochotonidae. The transcript is spliced from 3 exons.